Molecule: ribosomal RNA, 806 nt
Filed under: Halobacterium salinarum
Lineage: Archaea; Methanobacteriati; Methanobacteriota; Halobacteria; Halobacteriales; Halobacteriaceae
Description: bacterial SSU rRNA
Rfam family: Archaeal small subunit ribosomal RNA
Source: RNAcentral
CUAGUUGUGCGGGUUUAGACCCGCAGCGGAAAGCUCAGUAACACGUGGCCAAGCUACCCUGUGGACGGGAAUACUCUCGGGAAACUGAGGCUAAUCCCCGAUAACGCUUUGCUCCUGGAAGGGGCAAAGCCGGAAACGCUCCGGCGCCACAGGAUGCGGCUGCGGUCGAUUAGGUAGACGGUGGGGUAACGGCCCACCGUGCCCAUAAUCGGUACGGGUUGUGAGAGCAAGAGCCCGGAGACGGAAUCUGAGACAAGAUUCCGGGCCCUACGGGGCGCAGCAGGCGCGAAACCUUUACACUGUACGAAAGUGCGAUAAGGGGACUCCGAGUGUGAAGGCAUAGAGCCUUCACUUUUGUACACCGUAAGGUGGUGCACGAAUAAGGACUGGGCAAGACCGGUGCCAGCCGCCGCGGUAAUACCGGCAGUCCGAGUGAUGGCCGAUCUUAUUGGGCCUAAAGCGUCCGUAGCUGGCUGAACAAGUCCGUUGGGAAAUCUGUCCGCUUAACGGGCAGGCGUCCAGCGGAAACUGUUCAGCUUGGGACCGGAAGACCUGAGGGGUACGUCUGGGGUAGGAGUGAAAUCCUGUAAUCCUGGACGGACCGCCGGUGGCGAAAGCGCCUCAGGAGAACGGAUCCGACAGUGAGGGACGAAAGCUAGGGUCUCGAACCGGAUUAGAUACCCGGGUAGUCCUAGCUGUAAACGAUGUCCGCUAGGUGGUGGCGCAGGCUACGAGCCUGCGCUGUGCCGUAGGGAAGCCGAGAAGCGGACCGCCUGGGAAGUACGUCUGCAAGGAUGAAACUAAAG